GUGGGUGUGGCUCGGUUGGUAGAGCGUUCGCUUAGCAGUUCCGCAUUUAGAAAUUACAUCUGUGGAGUUCUUGUCAGGGGAUUACUGCGAAAGGUCCUGAGUCCGAUUCCCAGCUCCUCCA
Schizothecium vesticola is the source of this 121-nucleotide non-coding RNA. NCBI's taxonomy places the organism in Eukaryota, Fungi, Ascomycota, Sordariomycetes, Sordariales, Schizotheciaceae. The record is from the annotation of a GenBank genome assembly.